This 253-nucleotide non-coding RNA is filed under the name uncultured Cellvibrio sp. RNAcentral's name for it is "partial 16S ribosomal RNA". It matches the Rfam family "Bacterial small subunit ribosomal RNA", at positions 524 to 776 of the family's 1533-position model. Lineage: Bacteria; Pseudomonadati; Pseudomonadota; Gammaproteobacteria; Cellvibrionales; Cellvibrionaceae. RNAcentral also lists the same sequence under 1 other name. The record is from RNAcentral.
UACGGAGGGUGCAAGCGUUAAUCGGAAUUACUGGGCGUAAAGCGCACGUAGGUGGUUUGUUAAGCUAGCCGUGAAAUCCCCGGGCUCAACCUGGGCACUGCGGUUAGAACUGGCAAGCUAGAGUAGGGUAGAGGGGUGUGGAAUUCCAGGUGUAGCGGUGAAAUGCGUAGAUAUCUGGAGGAACAUCAGUGGCGAAGGCGACACCCUGGACUCAUACUGACACUGAGGUGCGAAAGCGUGGGGAGCAAACAGG